UCUUUUCUUUGAAAGAUGAGUCUCUUCUGUUUGUAAAUAUAUAAGAUGAAAGAUUGUGCAUAAUGUGUAGAAAGACGAUUGGCUUUGAAUGGAAUGAAUGAAUGACUUGUUAUGAGUAACUGACAGUCUGCUCUGGGUGGCAACUGAACCUCUUCACACCUCCUUAAGGCAGCCCUCAAAUGCUUGGGCACCACCAUAGGGUUUGAAGCUGGGGCAUCAGUUCAGGUAUGGAUGCUGUGCAGAGGGUGCCAGUUCCAAACUCAGGAAAGUCAGAUUCUGGGCCACUGCUCCUAUUCCUAACCUAAGAACCAGAGAAGUCUUACUGGGAUUUUCCUCAUUUUUAAUUAUCUUUCAAGGAUUAUGAGCGUAAAAGUUACUCGGUGGGAAAUUAUAUGUUUUCCCCUCAAGAAGUGGGUCUUCUCUGCCCACCCACUCUAGACUACCUUAAAGUUGUAACUGCCUACCUUCAGCACCAUGUCCAGUCAGAAAUGGGAAGGUUCAUGUCCUUGGCUGCUAUCCCAAACUAGUUGCCCAGAGCACUAGAGAAAAGCUCUGAGUACCCUUUGAUUUUACCUUUAGGAUAACCAAGAAUUUGCUCUAUUUCUUGGCAGGAUGCCUAAAGCCAAAAUGUGGUCUGAUGAAACAGGAAAUCAUAUUCUUUCUUCCUAAUUGUUCACUCAAAAGGAGCUAUGGGUUUUCUGUCCAGAGGAUACCACAUGGAGCAGGCGUGCUUGGAGCAGGAGCCUUCUGGUGAUGGGGCUGUUUUCCCAGGUCUAAAGAGCAUCUGUGAUGCUUCCGCUUACAUGCUUUGUGGGCAGGCCAGGACAGGUCUGAUAGGAGCAGAUCACCAUUCGCUGACAUGUUGAGACACUCCCAGUGCUCUUAGGCGUCUCUGGCAGCUCCAGCAGAAGACCUUACAGAACCGCAGGUUGCUGUAGCCGUCAGGGAAACACUGGAGAAGCUGUUGUGAUGGCAGGGCUUCUUUACUAAAGAUCAUUGCUGUUUAAUUUCGAUCAAGUUGCCCUGUCAGCUAUAGAUACAGUCUAGUACCUUUAACCUUUAAAGACAUUUGGUUUUCGCUUUGCUUUGCCUUGCUUUUUAUAUUUUGUUUCUUUUAUAUAUGAUAUUCAGCUUAGUGUUGGCUUUUUUUUUCUCUAGACAUUAAAACUCAGUGAAGGCAAGACAAGUUUUCCUGUGCAUGAGUCUUCUUAGCUCAUGUUUCUCUCUCUUUAAAUUUUUUGCCUUAAUGUUUGCCUUGCUCAUCUAUGCUGUCACCUUCUUGGAAAGGUUAAAAAUACAGUUCAAACAUUAUCCUGGCUCUUUAGGUAACUCUUGUUCUCCUGGCUGCCUUCCAUACUAAACACACACACACACACACACACACACACACACACAUCCGUACAGAUUUUGUAACAACCAAAUAAAGUUCUAGCAAUAAAUUGAAUUAUUCUGCU
This 1454-nucleotide long non-coding RNA is filed under the name Mus musculus (house mouse). RNAcentral's name for it is "long non-coding RNA chr4:115774449-115775903". The record is from RNAcentral. Lineage: Eukaryota; Metazoa; Chordata; Mammalia; Rodentia; Muridae.